AAUGGCUGUAAUUAACAAGACAGGAGUAAUAAGUGUUGGAGAGGAUGUAGAGAAAAGAAAAUUCUCAUACACUGCUGGUGGGAGUGCAAACUGGUGCAACCACUAUGGAAAACAGUAUGGAGAUUCCUCAAAAAUUAAGAAUAGAGCUACCAUACAAUCUAGCUAUUCCACUGCUGGGAAUUUAUCCAAAGAACA
Non-coding RNA from Ceratotherium simum simum (southern white rhinoceros), 195 nucleotides. NCBI's taxonomy places the organism in Eukaryota, Metazoa, Chordata, Mammalia, Perissodactyla, Rhinocerotidae. The record is from RefSeq and is a predicted model, not a curated record.